This 782-nucleotide long non-coding RNA is filed under the name Dermacentor andersoni. Its description in RNAcentral is "uncharacterized LOC126543014". The record is from RNAcentral. Lineage: Eukaryota; Metazoa; Arthropoda; Arachnida; Ixodida; Ixodidae.
GUGCCUCCCUGCAAUCUCCAAUUAUCAUUGUCUUGCACUAGCUGAUGCGAACUUGUGCUUUCAAAUUUCAUCAUCUCACCUAGUUUUCUGUCAUCCUUGACAGAAUUUCCCUUCCCUUGGCACCCAUUCUGCAACUCUAAUGGUCCACUGGUUAUCUACCCUAUGCAUUACAUGGCCUGCCCAGCUUCAUUUUUUCCUCUUAAUGUCUACUAGAAUAUCGACUAUCCACACUGCUCUCUUCCUGUCUCAUUGUCAUUUAUCAUUGCAUUGCUCUUUGUACGGCCCUUAACAUGUUCUCGAGAUUCUUCGUUCACCUCCAGGCUUAUGUGCCAUACUGCAUGCUUAGAAGAACAACGUGUCUACCAAGUUGACAUUUUCAAAUUCCCUGAUUUUUUCAGAUUUCACAGAACUUUGUUUUAUGUCAAGAUGGGCUGACACCAUGUCACCUGAUGCUGUCACUCUCUGGUCAGCUCUUUGCAAGGACAUGGUGCUAUGCAGCCUUCAGCUGCUGAAGAGGCAAGAUUACAUUUCUGAAUUACACUACACGAUUACAUUACAUUUGAAGAGGCAAGAUUACAUAUUUAAGUGUUUCAAUGUUUGGUGUCAUUGAUAAACCGUCAUAGGGAUUAUCUGCACCAGUGUUAUCAGAUCGCUUUCAAGAUAUGGGCCCGCUCUUCAAGGCAAAGCGACGAGAACAUGGAGUUCAAGAUAUGGUCCACGCGGCGCAUAAUGGUUUGACGUGGAUGGAUAAGGCACUAAAGAGCAGUAUCAGCUUAUAAUGA